Molecule: ribosomal RNA, 429 nt
Filed under: bacterium
Lineage: Bacteria
Description: partial 16S ribosomal RNA
Rfam family: Bacterial small subunit ribosomal RNA
Source: RNAcentral
UAGGGAAUCUUCGGCAAUGGGGGCAACCCUGACCGAGCAACGCCGCGUGAGUGAAGAAGGUUUUCGGAUCGUAAAGCUCUGUUGUAAGAGAAGAACGUGUGUGAGAGUGGAAAGUUCACACAGUGACGGUAACUUACCAGAAAGGGACGGCUAACUACGUGCCAGCAGCCGCGGUAAUACGUAGGUCCCGAGCGUUGUCCGGAUUUAUUGGGCGUAAAGCGAGCGCAGGCGGUUUAAUAAGUCUGAAGUUAAAGGCAGUGGCUUAACCAUUGUUCGCUUUGGAAACUGUUAAACUAGAGUGCAGAAGGGGAGAGUGGAAUUCCAUGUGUAGCGGUGAAAUGCGUAGAUAUAUGGAGGAACACCGGUGGCGAAAGCGGCUCUCUGGUCUGUAACUGACGCUGAGGCUCGAAAGCGUGGGGAGCAAACAGG